CAACUGCUUAUAGACAAGCUCGUGGCAAGAUUAGCUGGUUGGAAAUUCAAGUUGCUUGCGGCAGCAGGGCGCCUGGUUCUGCUAAACUCCGUCCUGUCGGCUUUCACGGUCUACUGGAUGUCUGUGCAUGAGAUGCCGGCAUGGAUGCGCCGGCAGAUCGACAAGAUUCGGCGGGCUUGGCUUUGGAAGGUCCAGGAAUUCUGCCAUGGCGGGCAUUGUAAGGUGGCUUGGGGGCGCAUUUGUAGACAGGGCGAGCUUGGACGGCUCGGCAUCUUAGACCUGCAUUAUUUUGGAGUGGCGUUGCGGCUGCGCUGGCUGUGGCUGGAGCGGACGGCGACGACGAAGCCAUGGGUCUGGCUGCCUGUCCCGUGCUCCACUCCUGAGCGACUGCUGUUCGCGGCUGCCUCUACCGCGACUGUCCGUGACGGCAAAAUGGCGAGGUUCUGGUUCGACAGCUGGCUACUUGGGGAGGCCCCGAUCACCAUCGCGUUAGGCAUCUUCAUGCUCUCACGGCGCAAAAUGCGGUCGGUCCAGGAUGCGCCGCGAGAUGGGAAGUGGGUCAAGGAUGUGCACGCCCGAGUCACUUUCGCCCUCCUCCCGGAGUUCGUGGCUUUGCGGUCUAAACUCUAA
RNAcentral lists this ribosomal RNA (630 nucleotides) under Triticum aestivum (bread wheat). RNAcentral's name for it is "partial small subunit ribosomal RNA". Lineage: Eukaryota; Viridiplantae; Streptophyta; Magnoliopsida; Poales; Poaceae. The record is from RNAcentral.